RNAcentral lists this transfer RNA (86 nucleotides) under Ignavibacteriota bacterium. RNAcentral describes it as "Ignavibacteriae bacterium tRNA-Leu". It matches the Rfam family "tRNA". From Rfam's summary of the family: Transfer RNA (tRNA) molecules are approximately 80 nucleotides in length. Their secondary structure includes four short double-helical elements and three loops (D, anti-codon, and T loops). Lineage: Bacteria; Pseudomonadati; Ignavibacteriota. The record is from RNAcentral.
GCCCGGAUGGCGGAAUUGGUAGACGCGCUAAGUUCAGGUCUUAGUAGGUUUAACCUGUGCAGGUUCAAGUCCUGUUCCGGGUACAA